CUCCUGAUGAUAUACACUGUAAAAAAUUACUGAUGCAAAAAGUUGUACAAAUGAGGAAAUACAUGUUGGCUCAACAUAAUGGUUGUGUCAAAAAAGAAAAAUAUGUUUGGUCAAUGAUUGCAUGAUUUCCAUGACUGUACUACAAAAUGUUCAUCAAGAGAAAAUAAAUAAUUGUGUUGACAGAACUUUUAACGUUGCACAAAAAAUAUUAUGUUGGCCGAGCAAGAGGGAACAGCGUCAAUCGUCUGAGCAUGCGCAAAGGAGUUCUACCAGGCGCCUCCUGGAAUUUCCCCCACCACGAGUCACGACAUUGCAGUGCAGAAGAAAGAAAUUCAUACAGGUUUGA
Molecule: long non-coding RNA, 346 nt
Organism: Cyprinus carpio (common carp)
Lineage: Eukaryota; Metazoa; Chordata; Actinopteri; Cypriniformes; Cyprinidae
Source: Ensembl